RNAcentral lists this ribosomal RNA (439 nucleotides) under uncultured bacterium. RNAcentral describes it as "partial 16S ribosomal RNA". It matches the Rfam family "Bacterial small subunit ribosomal RNA", at positions 338 to 795 of the family's 1533-position model. The record is from RNAcentral.
CCUACGGGGUGCAGCAGUGGGGAAUAUUGCACAAUGGGGAACCCUGAUGCAGCGACGCCGCGUGGGUGAAGGAGUAUUUUGGUAUGUAAAACCCUAUCAGCAGGGAAGAACAACGACGGUACCCGACCAAGAAGCACCGGCGAAAUACGUGCCAGCAGCCGCGGUAAUACGUAUGGUGCAAGCGUUAUCCGGGUUUACUGGGUGGAAAGGGAGCGCAGGCGGCGCGCUAAGGCUGGUGUGAAAGCCCGCGGCCCAACCGCGGGACUGCAUUGGGAACUGGCGCGCUGGAGUGCCGGAGGGGUAGGCGGAAUUCCUAGUGUAGCGGUGAAAUGCGUAGAUAUUAGGAGGAACACCAGUGGCGAAGGCGGCCUACUGGACGGUGACUGACGCUGAGGCUCGAAAGCGUGGGGAGCAAACAGGAUUAGAUACCCGGGUAGUC